This is a non-coding RNA of Triticum aestivum (bread wheat), 134 nucleotides long. The record is from Rfam. NCBI's taxonomy places the organism in Eukaryota, Viridiplantae, Streptophyta, Magnoliopsida, Poales, Poaceae.
GUAGUAUUCCCUCCAUCCCAAAAUUCUUGUCUUACAUUUGUAUAGAUACGGAUGUAUCUAAUACUAAAAUGUAACUAGAUACAUCCGUAUUUUGACAAAUUUAGACAAGAAUUUUGGGAUGGAGGGAGUACAAA